GAUAGGGGUGAAAGGCCAAUCAAACCCGGAGAUAUCUCGUUCUCCCCGAAAUAGCUUUAGGGCUAGCGUCGCGCGUUCACCGCCGGAGGUAGAGCACCGGAUGGACGAGGGGGCUUCGCCGCCUACCGAAUCCAACCGAACUCCGAAUGCCGGCGGCCCAGAGCGCGGCAGUCAGAGCAUGUGGGCUAAGCUGUGUGCUCGAGAGGGAAACAGCCCGGACCGCCCGCUAAGGUCCCCAAGUUCCAGCCGAGUGGCAAAGGAUGUGCGUCCGCCCAGACAACCAGGAUGUUGGCUUAGAAGCAGCCAUGCAUUCAAAGAGUGCGUAACAGCUCACUGGUCGAGUGGACAUGCGCCGACAAUACACGGGGCUAAGCUGGACACCGAAGCGGCGGGAUUUUAUUCAUUAGAAUCGGUAGGGGAGCUUCCCAUGGGCGGAGAAGCCGGAGGGCGACCGACGGUGGAGCGCAUGGGAGUGAGAAUGCUGGCAUGAGUAGCGAGAGACGAGAGAGUAACUCGUCCGCCGUGAACCCGAGGUUUCCUGGGCAAGGCUAAUCCUCCCAGGGUCAGUCGGGGGCUAAGGCGAGGCCGGGAGGCGUAGCCGACGCGCAGCAGGCAGACAUUCCUGCACCGCGCACGCGGCGCUACGACCGACGGGGCGACGGAUGGGGGUGGCUCGGCGGGGUUCUGGACGUCCCCGUGAUGGAGCGCGGCCCGCGGACCAGGGAAAUCCGGUCCGCAGAAGGGCGAGGCUCCGGACGAAGCACUUAAGCGAAGCGAGUGAGCCCGAGGUCCCUAGAAAAACCCCUAGGCAGGCGCGUGCGCGCCCGUACCGCAAACCGACACAGGUGGGUGGGUAGAACAUACCGAGGCGAUCGGGUCAACCAUGGUCAAGGAACUCGGCACAAUGGCCCCGUAACUUCGGGAGAAGGGGUGCCCGCGCGUACGUGAACGGACUUGCUCCGGGAGCGGAGGCGGGCCGCAGUGGAGAGGCCCAAGCGACUGUUUACCAAAAACACAGGACUCUGCAGAAGCCGCAAGGCGACGUAUAGGGUCUGACGCCUGCCCGGUGCCGGAAGGUCACGCGGAGGGGUUAGCCGCAAGGCGAGGCCCCGAAGCCAAGCCCCGGUAAACGGCGGCCGUAACUAUAACGGUCCUAAGGUAGCGAAAUUCCUUGUCGGGUAAGUUCCGACCUGCACGAAAGGCGCAACGACUUGGGCGCUGUCUCGACCAUGGACCCGGUGAAAUUGCACUGGUCGUGAAGAUGCGACUUACCCGCGGAAGGACGGAAAGACCCCGUGAACCUUCACUGCAGCUUGGCAUUGGCCGCUGGUCCCGCGUGUAGAGGAUAGGCAGGAGGCAUCGAUCCGGAGGCGCCAGCCCCCGGGGAGCCGCCCUUGGAAUACUGCCCUCGCGCGACCGGCGUCCUAACCCGAGGCCGUCAACCGGCUCGGGGACCGUGCCAGGCGGGCAGUUUGACUGGGGCGGUCGCCUCCUAAAGGGUAACGGAGGCGCGCGAAGGUCCGCUCGGGACGGUCGGCAACCGUCCUUUUGAAUGCAAGAGUACAAGCGGGCUUGACUGCGAGGCCCACAAGCCGAGCAGGUGCGAAAGCAGGCUCUAGUGAUCCGGCGGCCCCGAGUGGGUGGGCCGUCGCUCAACGGAUAAAAGGUACUCCGGGGAUAACAGGCUGAUCUUGCCCAAGAGUCCACAUCGACGGCAAGGUUUGGCACCUCGAUGUCGGCUCAUCGCAUCCUGGGGCUGGAGCAGGUCCCAAGGGUACGGCUGUUCGCCGUUUAAAGCGGUACGCGAGCUGGGUUCAGAACGUCGUGAGACAGUUCGGUCCCUAUCCUCCGUGGGCGCAGGAGAAUCGAUGGAGGCUGCCCCCAGUACGAGAGGACCGGGGUGGACGCACCUCCGGUGAACCGGUUGUCGACCAACGGCACGGCCGGGUAGCCGCGUGCGGCGCGGAUAACCGCUGAAGGCAUCUAAGCGGGAAGCCGUUCCAGGGAUUAGUUCU
This 2015-nucleotide ribosomal RNA is filed under the name human gut metagenome. RNAcentral's name for it is "bacterial LSU rRNA". It matches the Rfam family "Bacterial large subunit ribosomal RNA", at positions 814 to 2812 of the family's 2925-position model. The record is from RNAcentral.